AUUGAUUGGUGCUUGCAUCAUGAUUUACAUUUGAGUGAGUGGCGAACUGGUGAGUAACACGUGGGAAACCUGCCCAGAAGCGGGGGAUAACACCUGGAAACAGAUGCUAAUACCGCAUAACAACUUGGACCGCAUGGUCCGAGUUUGAAAGAUGGCUUCGGCUAUCACUUUUGGAUGGUCCCGCGGCGUAUUAGCUAGAUGGUGGGGUAACGGCUCACCAUGGCAAUGAUACGUAGCCGACCUGAGAGGGUAAUCGGCCACAUUGGGACUGAGACACGGCCCAAACUCCUACGGGAGGCAGCAGUAGGGAAUCUUCCACAAUGGACGAAAGUCUGAUGGAGCAACGCCGCGUGAGUGAAGAAGGGUUUCGGCUCGUAAAACUCUGUUGUUAAAGAAGAACAUAUCUGAGAGUAACUGUUCAGGUAUUGACGGUAUUUAACCAGAAAGCCACGGCUAACUACGUGCCAGCAGCCGCGGUAAUACGUAGGUGGCAAGCGUUGUCCGGAUUUAUUGGGCGUAAAGCGAGCGCAGGCGGUUUUUUAAGUCUGAUGUGAAAGCCUUCGGCUCAACCGAAGAAGUGCAUCGGAAACUGGGAAACUUGAGUGCAGAAGAGGACAGUGGAACUCCAUGUGUAGCGGUGAAAUGCGUAGAUAUAUGGAAGAACACCAGUGGCGAAGGCGGCUGUCUGGUCUGUAACUGACGCUGAGGCUCGAAAGUAUGGGUAGCAAACAGGAUUAGAUACCCUGGUAGUCCAUACCGUAAACGAUGAAUGCUAAGUGUUGGAGGGUUUCCGCCCUUCAGUGCUGCAGCUAACGCAUUAAGCAUUCCGCCUGGGGAGUACGGCCGCAAGGCUGAAACUCAAAGGAAUUGACGGGGGCCCGCACAAGCGGUGGAGCAUGUGGUUUAAUUCGAAGCUACGCGAAGAACCUUACCAGGUCUUGACAUACUAUGCAAAUCUAAGAGAUUAGACGUUCCCUUCGGGGACAUGGAUACAGGUGGUGCAUGGUUGUCGUCAGCUCGUGUCGUGAGAUGUUGGGUUAAGUCCCGCAACGAGCGCAACCCUUAUUAUCAGUUGCCAGCAUUAAGUUGGGCACUCUGGUGAGACUGCCGGUGACAAACCGGAGGAAGGUGGGGAUGACGUCAAAUCAUCAUGCCCCUUAUGACCUGGGCUACACACGUGCUACAAUGGAUGGUACAACGAGUUGCGAACUCGCGAGAGUAAGCUAAUCUCUUAAAGCCAUUCUCAGUUCGGAUUGUAGGCUGCAACUCGCCUACAUGAAGUCGGAAUCGCUAGUAAUCGCGGAUCAGCAUGCCGCGGUGAAUACGUUCCCGGGCCUUGUACACACCGCCCGUCACACCAUGAGAGUUUGUA
RNAcentral lists this ribosomal RNA (1372 nucleotides) under Lactiplantibacillus plantarum subsp. plantarum. RNAcentral describes it as "bacterial SSU rRNA". It matches the Rfam family "Bacterial small subunit ribosomal RNA", at positions 69 to 1416 of the family's 1533-position model. Lineage: Bacteria; Bacillati; Bacillota; Bacilli; Lactobacillales; Lactobacillaceae. The record is from RNAcentral.